Molecule: long non-coding RNA, 1380 nt
Filed under: Chinchilla lanigera (long-tailed chinchilla)
Lineage: Eukaryota; Metazoa; Chordata; Mammalia; Rodentia; Chinchillidae
Description: lncRNA (ENSCLAG00000027111.1)
Source: RNAcentral
GGAUGUGUAGAAACAGCCUCACUGUGUUUUCAUGAAGUUUGAGGCCCAGGAAUUCAUGGUGAGGUGGGAGCCCCCCAUCGCACUUGCUGCACAGUUAAUACUUUUCCAGGUGGUGAACAGAACUGUCUAGAAACAAGGAAGGGAAGGAAAUGGGAGCAAAGACAAAGGGAGAGAGGGGAGAGAAGAGAGGGGGUGGAGGCCACUGAGGUGCAAAUGUCAAUGCAGCAAUUUGGGGCUGAGGUAGGUGAACAAGAAGUACAACUCCAAAGUUGGUCUGUGUUGAACAGAUGUCUGGUCAUUAAGAUAUCUUUCUUAGCUGGAAAUUGUAGCAACAGCUUUCACAAAUGGGCCACCCAAUUGCGUUUAUGAGAAUUUUCCUCUUCACUGGGGCCAGCCUCUGAGAGUCAACACAGUGUCAGAUUGGAACAUAUUUGCUUGCAUUUUAAGGUUAUAAAUGAGAAAGACCAUUUGUCUCCUUCCAAGGGUAGAUUUCAAUUGGAUACAGCCUCACAGUUUUAAGCUUCCAAAGUGCGAUUUUCCUUCUUCUUUCAAGCUGUCUGUCUUGUUACUAUGGGACCCAACACAAAGGGACUUCAGUCAGGAAGCAAGAACUCCUGCUUCAUCCUGGGGAAAGAAGCAACCUAGGAUCAAGGAGCACAGCUCAGCCAGGAUGUGGCUGUGUUUAUGCUGGAACCCUAAGGCGGUACUCCUCCCCCAGCUUCCGGUUAUAGUGGGAACAGCCACAACUGUGAACUUCCGGUCCUGUUCAGGCUGACCACAUAAGCCAGUUCUCUCUCCUGGUUUCCUCGCUGGGUGAGGAGAGUGGAAUCCUUUCUCAGGGACCUGCAGAGAGAGAGAGGCCAGAGUGUACUUACCAUGUCCGGGAGGUCUUCAAGGACUUCAGUUCUGAGUGUGACCUACUUCUGCUGCCAAUAUUCUGGUCAUUUGCGUCCCUGCCAGCAAUGUUCAGAAGCAUACAGUGAACCAGAGAAAUCAGGAAUGUUUGGAGGAGCUGAUGUCUUCCAGGGUUAGCCUGAAGCAUCGACGACAGGACCUCUAGUGACAACAUCACACAGACUGAGUCAGACACUCUUCCCAGGUCUGUUUCAGUUCUGAUUAAUCAAAGAGCAAGCCCUGUUUCCUUUGUCUUUGACAGUGAGCACAGCCCUCUGGACCACAGGCUACAGAGGGCAAGAUGCUCUGGCUAGAAUUUCAUAGUGCUGUUUUGUUUUCUUUGGUGGCCAGUGGGUGAUACUGCAUUUUCAGUAAGAGUAAUAUGGUCAAACUUCCUUCAUUAAUAAAUAAAUGUGUACAAAAAGUGACUCACUUUGGAGAAAGAUCUUGAAUUAUCAAUUGUUCUGUGCACACCUAUCAUCCUAG